Molecule: ribosomal RNA, 432 nt
Filed under: uncultured bacterium
Lineage: Bacteria
Description: partial 16S ribosomal RNA
Rfam family: Bacterial small subunit ribosomal RNA
Source: RNAcentral
GAACGAACGCUGGCGGCAGGCCUAACACAUGCAAGUCGAGCGCCCCGCAAGGGGAGCGGCGGACGGGUGAGUAACGCGUGGGAAUAUGCCCUUUGCUACGGAAUAGUCUCGGGAAACUGGGGGUAAUACCGUAUACGCCCUUUGGGGGAAAGAUUUAUCGGCGAAGGAUUAGCCCGCGUUGGAUUAGGUAGUUGGUGGGGUAAUGGCCUACCAAGCCGACGAUCCAUAGCUGGUUUGAGAGGAUGAUCAGCCACACUGGGACUGAGACACGGCCCAGACUCCUACGGGAGGCAGCAGUGGGGAAUCUUAGACAAUGGGGGCAACCCUGAUCUAGCCAUGCCGCGUGAGUGAUGAAGGCCUUAGGGUUGUAAAGCUCUUUCAGCUGGGAAGAUAAUGACGGUACCAGCAGAAGAAGCCCUGGCUAACUCCGUG